UACGUAGGGGGCAAGCGUUGUCCGGAAUCAUUGGGCGUAAAGCGCGUGUAGGCGGCUUGGUAAGUCCGCUCUAAAAGCCCGGGGCUCAACCCCGGGAGGCGGGUGGAUACUGUCAAGCUCGAGUCCGGAAGAGGCGAGUGGAAUUCCUGGUGUAGCGGUGAAAUGCGCAGAUAUCAGGAGGAACACCAAUGGCGAAGGCAGCUCGCUGGGACGUGACUGACGCUGAGACGCGAAAGCGUGGGGAGCAAACAGG
RNAcentral lists this ribosomal RNA (253 nucleotides) under uncultured bacterium. RNAcentral describes it as "partial 16S ribosomal RNA". It matches the Rfam family "Bacterial small subunit ribosomal RNA", at positions 524 to 776 of the family's 1533-position model. The record is from RNAcentral.